ACUCAAAUGAAUUGACGGGGACCCGCACAAGUAGCGGAGCAUGUGGUUUAAUUCGAAGCAACGCGAAGAACCUUACCUAAGCUUGACAUCCCAUUGACCUCUCCCUAAUCGGAGAUUUCCCUUCGGGGACAGUGGUGACAGGUGGUGCAUGGUUGUCGUCAGCUCGUGUCGUGAGAUGUUGGGUUAAGUCCCGCAACGAGCGCAACCCUUGCCUUUAGUUGCCAGCAUUAAGUUGGGCACUCUAGAGGGACUGCCGAGGAUAACUCGGAGGAAGGUGGGGAUGACGUCAAAUCAUCAUGCCCCUUAUGCUUAGGGCUACACACGUGCUACAAUGGGUGGUACAGAGGGUUGCCAAACCGUGAGGUGGAGCUAAUCCCUUAAAGCCAUUCUCAGUUCGGAUUGUAGGCUGAAACUCGCCUACAUGAAGCUGGAGUUACUAGUAAUCGCAGAUCAGAAUGCUGCGGUGAAUGCGUUCCCGGGUCUUGUACACACCGCCCGU
RNAcentral lists this ribosomal RNA (499 nucleotides) under uncultured bacterium. RNAcentral's name for it is "bacterial SSU rRNA". It matches the Rfam family "Bacterial small subunit ribosomal RNA", at positions 899 to 1397 of the family's 1533-position model. The record is from RNAcentral.